Lycium ferocissimum is the source of this 670-nucleotide long non-coding RNA. RefSeq lists it as uncharacterized. The record is from RefSeq and is a predicted model, not a curated record. The transcript is spliced from 3 exons. NCBI's taxonomy places the organism in Eukaryota, Viridiplantae, Streptophyta, Magnoliopsida, Solanales, Solanaceae.
UUCUUUUGUUCUUGAUUAUUUUCUUUUUGUCCCCAAGAAAGGAUUUUUCUACAUUGAAAUUGUGAGCGCAAGUUCAAUUUCUUUGUGACGCACAUAAUUAUAUCUAGAACAGGUGCUUCCAAGAUGGGCAAACAUCCUUCAUGCACGAUGGAUCCUCUCAAGUAGAAAGCUGCCAGUUUCUACUCACUUAGGGAAAAUGACACACGGGUUAGAUCUAAAGCUAUUUGUUUUGACAGUUUUUUGAUUGCUGAUUUCGUGCGUCAAUAAAUUUUUUUACAGACUCGGGUGCAAUAUAACGUGGUUGACUUUUUCAUGCUCCAAGUGUCUCAACAACUGUUAGGUUCCCCUGAGCCAAUAACUAUUAAGUUGCUUGUGAAGAAGGUGAUUUGCAGUUUCAAAACAUCACGUGCGGUCAAGAGAAAAAGUAGAAAACAUGAAAACAGAAGAAACCUAAGCCAAAUGUUUUAUGAUCCUCCAAAAUACUAUUCUUUAUAAACUAUUUACUGAGGUUGAUUCUUGGGGCACAGUCAUGGGGUUUUUAUCAUGCUCUUUGUAAAUGCAACACUAAAUCACCAGCUUUAGAAGGAGAGAAUAAAGAAGAAUUUGAAGAUGAGGUCAAUCUCAUAUUUUUGUCAAGAAAUAGAAUAAUACCAUUAUAAAGAAGGAAUUG